RNAcentral lists this ribosomal RNA (408 nucleotides) under uncultured bacterium. RNAcentral describes it as "partial 16S ribosomal RNA". It matches the Rfam family "Bacterial small subunit ribosomal RNA", at positions 28 to 526 of the family's 1533-position model. The record is from RNAcentral.
GACGAACGCUGGCGGCGUGCUUAACACAUGCAAGUCGAACGAAGUGGCGAACGGGUGAGUAACGCGUAAUCAACCUGCCCUUCAGAGGGGGACAACAGUUGGAAACGACUGCUAAUACCGCAUACUGAAGGAGGGGAUUGCGUCUGAUUAGCUAGUUGGCGGGGUACCGGCCAACCAAGGCGAUGAUCAGUAGCCGGUCUGGAAGGAUGAACGGCCAAAUUUGGACUGUGAAACGGCCCAGACUUCUUCGGGAGGCAACCGUGGGGAAUCUUCCGCAAUGGACGAAAGGCUGACGGAGCAACGCCGCGUGAGUGAUGACGGACUUCGGGUUGUAAAGCUCUGUUAAUCGGGACGCGGUACCGGAAUAGAAAGCCACGGCUAACUACGUGCCAGCCGCCGCGGUAAUAC